UGGGGAAUAUUGGGCAAUGGGCGCAAGCCUGACCCAGCAACGCCGCGUGAAGGAAGAAGGCUUUCGGGUUGUAAACUUCUUUUAUCAGGGACGAAGCAAGUGACGGUACCUGAUGAAUAAGCCACGGCUAACUACGUGCCAGCAGCCGCGGUAAUACGUAGGUGGCGAGCGUUAUCCGGAUUUACUGGGUGUAAAGGGCGUGUAGGCGGGCUUGCAAGUCAGGUGUGAAAUUCCAGGGCUCAACCCUGGAACUGCAUUUGAAACUGUAGGUCUUGAGUGCUGGAGAGGCAAUCGGAAUUCCGUGUGUAGCGGUGAAAUGCGUAGAUAUACGGAGGAACACCAGUGGCGAAGGCGGAUUGCUGGACAGUAACUGACGCUGAGGCGCGAAAGCGUGGGGAGCAAACAGGAUUAGAUACCC
This 418-nucleotide ribosomal RNA is filed under the name uncultured bacterium. Its description in RNAcentral is "bacterial SSU rRNA". It matches the Rfam family "Bacterial small subunit ribosomal RNA", at positions 355 to 787 of the family's 1533-position model. The record is from RNAcentral.